This 343-nucleotide ribosomal RNA is filed under the name uncultured Oscillospiraceae bacterium. Its description in RNAcentral is "bacterial SSU rRNA". It matches the Rfam family "Bacterial small subunit ribosomal RNA", at positions 356 to 713 of the family's 1533-position model. The record is from RNAcentral. Lineage: Bacteria; Bacillati; Bacillota; Clostridia; Eubacteriales; Oscillospiraceae.
UGGGAAUAUUGGGGCAAUGGGGCGAAAGCCUGACCCAGCAAUGCCGCGUGAAGGAAGAAGGCCUUCGGUUGUAAACUUCUUUAUCAGGGACGAAGGAUGUGACGGUACCUGAUGAAUAAGCUCCGGCUAACUACGUGCCAGCAGCCGCGGUAAUACGUAGGGAGCAAGCGUUAUCCGGAUUUACUGGGUGUAAAGGGCGCGUAGGCGGGAUGGCAAGUCAGAUGUGAAAUCCAUGGGCUCAACCCAUGAACUGCAUUUGAAACUGUUAUUCUUGAGUACUGGAGAGGUUGACGGAAUUCCUAGUGUAGCGGUGAAAUGCGUAGAUAUUAGGAGGAACACCAGU